Molecule: ribosomal RNA, 435 nt
Filed under: uncultured Roseburia sp.
Lineage: Bacteria; Bacillati; Bacillota; Clostridia; Lachnospirales; Lachnospiraceae
Description: partial 16S ribosomal RNA
Rfam family: Bacterial small subunit ribosomal RNA
Source: RNAcentral
ACGGAAGGCAGCAGUGGGGAAUAUUGCACAAUGGGCGAAAGCCUGAUGCAGCGACGCCGCGUGAGUGAAGAAGUAUUUCGGUAUGUAAAGCUCUAUCAGCAGGGAAGAAAAAUGACGGUACCUGACUAAGAAGCACCGGCUAAAUACGUGCCAGCAGCCGCGGUAAUACGUAUGGUGCAAGCGUUAUCCGGAUUUACUGGGUGUAAAGGGAGCGCAGGCGGUACGGCAAGUCUGAUGUGAAAGCCCGGGGCUUAACCCCGGUACUGCAUUGGAAACUGUCGAACUAGAGUGUCGGAGGGGUAAGCGGAAUUCCUAGUGUAGCGGUGAAAUGCGUAGAUAUUAGGAGGAACACCAGUGGCGAAGGCGGCUUACUGGACGAUAACUGACGCUGAGGCUCGAAAGCGUGGGGAGCAAACAGGAUUAGAUACCCUGGUA